Molecule: long non-coding RNA, 496 nt
Filed under: Homo sapiens (human)
Lineage: Eukaryota; Metazoa; Chordata; Mammalia; Primates; Hominidae
Description: long non-coding RNA NONHSAT234238
Source: RNAcentral
UGAGCUUUCCUGCUGUCAACCUUUUUUCACACUUUUUUCCUUCAUUUCCCUUUGCGAUCAUACAGUAAUCCUGGCUUUUUUUACAAUUUAUAAUAUUUGUGGAAGUUCUAGCCCUUUUCCCACUUAUCUCUCACAAAAUAUAUAGACAUUUGUUAGUUUAAUUGCAAUAAUUUCUAAAAAUGUGUUUGAUUGUAGAAGCUUCCAGUUAAUAAAUACUACUGUGUGCCGGGGAUUACCCUAAAUGCUUUAUCUUUUUUAUCUCAUUCUUACAACAUGAUUACUAUUCCUACUUUAUAUAUAAGGAAAUUGAAACCUAGCAAGGUGAAGUAAUUUGAGCUAAGUUAUGUAAAGGGAGUGGCAGGACAAGAUUCAGACUCAUGUCUGACUUUCUUUGCGUGUGUGUGUGUGUGUGUGUGUGUACGUACCACUAAGCAUUGAAAAUUGGAAGCGCCUUCUCUUAGCCCUCUUUACUGUCCAAGUAACCAAAGUAUUAUCU